Molecule: ribosomal RNA, 208 nt
Filed under: uncultured bacterium
Lineage: Bacteria
Description: partial 16S ribosomal RNA
Rfam family: Bacterial small subunit ribosomal RNA
Source: RNAcentral
UGCGUAGGUGGCGUCGUAAGUCGGGUGUGAAAUCUCGGGGCUUAACUCCGAAACUGCAUUCGAUACUGCGGUGCUUGAGGACUGGAGAGGAGACUGGAAUUUACGGUGUAGCAGUGAAAUGCGUAGAGAUCGUAAGGAAGACCAGUGGCGAAGGCGGGUCUCUGGACAGUUCCUGACACUGAGGCACGAAGGCCAGGGGAGGCAAACG